UCAUAUGCUUGUCUCAAAGAUUAAGCCAUGCAUGUCUAAGUCCAAGCUGUGUUCACACGGCGAGACCGCGGACGGCUCAUUAAAUCAGUCGUGGUCCAAAUGGGCCAGUGCAAAUCCUACUUGGAUAACUGUGGUAAUUCCAGAGCUAAUACAUGCAACUGAUAUCCCGAAGGCGGUGUUUGGGCUUGCUUGCCUUGCGCUGCGCUGCUCUGACGGAUGCUUUUAUUAGACCAAGCCGCUGAGGACUUGAGGGUUCGCGCUCUCUUGUCUGACUCGUGUGAUGGUGACUCUGGAUAACCAAAUUCUGACAAGCGCACGUACUUCUCUUCUGAGCGAGACGGCGCUGCCACUUUCGAGUGUCUGCCUUAUCAGCUAUCAACCGUUCGUUAUGCGCGACCGAUGGCUUUGACGGGUAACGGGGAAUCAGGGUUCGAUUCCGGAGAGGCAGCCUGAGAGACGGCUACCACGUCCAAGGACGGCAGCAGGCACGCAAAUUACCCAAUCCCAGCAAAUGGGGGAGGUAGUGACGAAAUCUAACGAUGCGGGCGCCCUUUCUGGGGCCCCGCAAUCGGAAUGGGCACUUUCUAAACAACCUGUUGAGAACCUAC
Molecule: ribosomal RNA, 608 nt
Filed under: Eulimnogammarus verrucosus
Lineage: Eukaryota; Metazoa; Arthropoda; Malacostraca; Amphipoda; Eulimnogammaridae
Description: SSU rRNA
Rfam family: Eukaryotic small subunit ribosomal RNA
Source: RNAcentral